CAGUCGCCACGGGAAUACGGAGGGGGCUAGCGUUGUUCGGAAUUACUGGGCGUAAAGCGCACGUAGGCGGCUCGGUAAGUUAGAGGUGAAAACCCAGGGCUCAACCCUGGAAUUGCCUUUAAGACUGCCGAGCUAGUAGGUGAGAGAGGUGAGUGGAAUUCCGAGUGUAGAGGUGAAAUUCGUAGAUAUUCGGAAGAACACCAGUGGCGAAGGCGGCUCACUGGCUCAUUCUAGACGCUGAGGUGCGAAAGCGUGGGGAGCAAACAGGAUUAGAUACCCGGGUAGUCCCUGUCUCUUAUAA
This 301-nucleotide ribosomal RNA is filed under the name uncultured bacterium. RNAcentral's name for it is "partial 16S ribosomal RNA". It matches the Rfam family "Bacterial small subunit ribosomal RNA", at positions 509 to 809 of the family's 1533-position model. The record is from RNAcentral.